GUUCUAACCGCCAGCGGUAAGAGGACAAGGCAGCACUCUAUACAGCUGGAGGCAUACAAGGGUGGGCUGGCUGUGACUUCUCCUCGUCCUCGUCUCUCUGGUAAUUCUACAUACUUAGAAAUUUCCAAUAGUCACCAGGUCCUCGGCACUGAAACAACUGAUUGACUAGAACAAAGAGGAGUAUGGGACCCAUCAGCCCAACCCAGGAGAAAAUCAAAUCUUUUCAUAAAGAGAUCUCCAGUCCUCCAAGAUUAUCCUCUUUGGGAAUUCUAUACUAAGAAGAAUGGAAAGAACCUUCUGCAAUGGACGGGCAGACAACAGGAUGGUGUGCUGCCCUCUCAGAGCCAAGACAAAAAACGUCACUAACAUUGGACAGCUUCUGAAGUUCAGGAUCCAGUGGUGUUAGUGCCAACAUGCACAAUCAACAUUUGCUUUGUGGGAUACCUAAUCGAUCGUAGAUGACUUCAGGAAACUCAGAGUGCAGAAGAACAACGUCCAAGUGAUCUUGGAGCUCCUUCUUGUGUCGUGAAGACAGAAGAUUCUGGAAGUGAACCACUGGCUAGAAUGCCCUCAGGAGUAUGAAAAAGGAAGUCUCUAGCCCUAGAAACUUCAGACUAGGGUGAAGUUUCUGACUGGCAUAUUGAGACAACAGACAGCAGAUCAGAAGCAGCCACAGUGGGCAAGAGGCAAAUUGGAUGAGGUAAGGAUACAAAACCUCUCUUGGCCAAGUUAGAGCAAUCAAAAUGACUCUAGCUCAGUCUUGCUUGAUCUUGUUGAGGACCUUUAGAAGCAAUGGCAUUGGUGGAUAAGUACAGAAAAGACCCUGUCCAUAAUUUGAGAAGCAUCUCCUCCUUAUGACCUCCUAUGGAACAGAAUUUGCUGCACUUCAUAGUGUAAUUUGCUCCAGGACCAAGACUGACCUCUAGGAAUCCCCAAGCUAAGAAUAGUUUGACGAUGACCUGGAAGUCCAGCUCCCAUUCAUGAUUUAUGGAGAAGUGUCUGCUGAGGUAGUCUGCCAUAGUGAUAAGAAGCUGAGAGGACUAUCUGGUUGUCUAGGCACCAAUACCAGAGUUUUAUUGCUUCAGGGCAGAGAGAUGAGAAAUGUGCAUCUCCCUGACAAUUGAUAGAAUACAUGCAGGCCAUGUUGUCUGCCGUUAACUUCAUUGACUUAGCUCUGAUUAGAGGGAAAAAGUGAAGGCAAGAAUUUCUGAAUGCUCUUAACGCUAGGUUGAUGUGAAGGAGCUAUUCUUGCAGUGACCAUUUGCCUGAAUUGUGUGAGGUCCCAGGUGUGCCCUCCAUUCCAAGAGUGAUGUGUCUGAUGUUGUCAAAACAGUUGGUGGAUUCUGGAUAAAUGGGACUCCUGAACAGAUCUGGCCUUGAAAGAUGAGCAAACCUUGCACUUCCUGGGGAUGUGGGUAUCUCCCAAACAAAGGAGCACCAAGGAUGCCCAACACUUACUGGGAUAGCCUCCUAGCCAGAAAUAUACCUCUUAAAACCCAGGGAUGCUGAAAUAGAUCAGAAUAAUCAAAGCGGAAGGGUGCCUGCACCCUUGAAGUGGAGCAUCUAUAGGAACACUACUCAAAGAAGGUAAAUAUUGCUAAAUAGUUAUGCACUAUAGUAUCAAUAUUAUUCGAUUUAACAAUGAUUACUACACUUGAUAGUCAAUGCUGUGUUUAUAUAUUUGUGUUUUCAAACCAGUUUUAGGUGUUUCUUUGUAAAUGCAUGCAUAUAAAAAGGUUUAGUAGAUUAAACAGUUUAAUGAAAAAGUACUCUACAAGCUUGUUUAAAAAUAAAAUUCAAAUUGUCUGAUUUUUCCUUCUCUUAA
Dermochelys coriacea (leatherback sea turtle) is the source of this 1825-nucleotide long non-coding RNA. RefSeq lists it as uncharacterized. Lineage: Eukaryota; Metazoa; Chordata; Testudines; Dermochelyidae. The transcript has 3 exons. The record is from RefSeq and is a predicted model, not a curated record.